This is a non-coding RNA of Pelobates cultripes (western spadefoot toad), 679 nucleotides long. NCBI's taxonomy places the organism in Eukaryota, Metazoa, Chordata, Amphibia, Anura, Pelobatidae. The record is from the annotation of a GenBank genome assembly.
GCGUUUUCCACAUUCACUACAGGAAAAUGGUUUUUCUCCAGUGUGAAUCCUCUGAUGUUUCUUUAGAUUUGAAUGAAUAGUAAAACAUUUCCCACAUUCAGAACAAGAAAUAGUUUUCUCUCCUGUGUGAAUCCUUUGGUGUGACUUAAGAUUUGUCAUUUGAGUGAAACAUCUCCCACAUUCUGAACAUGAAAAAGGUUUCUCUCCUGUGUGCAACCUCAUAUGUCUCCUAAGAUCUGACAUUUGAGCAAAGCGUUUCCCACAUUCAGAACAAGAAAAUAGUUUCUCUCCUGUGUGAAUCCUCUGAUGUUUCUUAAGAGUUGACUUGCGAGCAAAACAUUUCUCGCAUUCAGAACAAGAAAAUGGUUUGUCUCCUGUGUGACUCUUUUGAUGAGUAUUAAGAGUUGAAGUAUCAGUGAAACAUUUCCCACAUUCAGAACAAGAAAAUGGUUUCUCUCCUGUGUGAAUCCUCUGAUGUGUCUUAAGAGUUGAGUUGCGAGUAAAACAUUUCUUGCAUUCAGAACAAGAAAAUGGUUUGUCUCCUGUGUGACUCUUUUGAUGAGUAUUAAGAGUUAAAGUAUCAGUGAAACAUUUUCCACAUUCAGAACAAGAAAUAGUUUUCUCUCCUGUGUGAAUCUUCUGGUGUAAUCUAAGAUGUGACAAUUGAUUUAACCUUUUC